CAGCAGCCGCGGUAAUACGGAGGGUGCAAGCGUUAAUCGGAAUUACUGGGCGUAAAGCGCACGCAGGCGGUCUGACAAGUCAGAUGUGAAAUCCCCGGGCUUAACCUGGGAACUGCAUUUGAAACUGUCAGGCUGGAGUCUUGUAGAGGGGGGUGGAAUUCCAGGUGUAGCGGUGAAAUGCGUAGAGAUCUGGAGGAAUACCGGUGGCGAAGGCGGCCCCCUGGACAAAGACUGACGCUCAGGUGCGAAAGCGUGGGGAGCAAACAGGAUUAGAUACCCCGGUAGUCCAUGUCUCUUAUAA
Molecule: ribosomal RNA, 301 nt
Filed under: uncultured bacterium
Lineage: Bacteria
Description: partial 16S ribosomal RNA
Rfam family: Bacterial small subunit ribosomal RNA
Source: RNAcentral